RNAcentral lists this ribosomal RNA (460 nucleotides) under uncultured bacterium. RNAcentral's name for it is "partial 16S ribosomal RNA". It matches the Rfam family "Bacterial small subunit ribosomal RNA", at positions 338 to 795 of the family's 1533-position model. The record is from RNAcentral.
CCUACGGGGUGCAGCAGUGAGGAAUAUUGGUCAAUGGACGAGAGUCUGAACCAGCCAAGUAGCGUGAAGGAUGACUGCCCUAUGGGUUGUAAACUUCUUUUAUAUGGGAAUAAAAUGUUCCACGUGUGGGAUUUUGUAUGUACCAUAUGAAUAAGGAUCGGCUAACUCCGUGCCAGCAGCCGCGGUAAUACGGAGGAUCCGAGCGUUAUCCGGAUUUAUUGGGUUUAAAGGGAGCGUAGGGGGAUUGUUAAGUCAGUUGUGAAAGUUUGCGGAUCAACCGUAAAAUUGCAGUUGAAACUGGCAGUCUUGAGUGCAGUAGAGGUGGGCGGAAUGCGUGGUGUAGCGGUGAAAUGCUUAGAGAUCACGAAGAACUCCGAUUGCGAAGGCAGUUCACUGGACUGCAACUGACACUGAGGCUCGAAAGUGUGGGUAUCAAACAGGAUUAGAUACCCGUGUAGUC